ACCUGACUGCUAUCGGAUUGAUACUAAGCCAUGCGAGUCAUUGUAGCAAUACAAGGCAGACGGCUCAGUAACACGUAGUCAAUCUAACCUAUGGACGGGGAUAACCUCGGGAAACUGAGAAUAAUAUCCGAUAGGCCACUAUGUCUGGAAUGGUUUGUGGCCCAAAUGAUUUAUCGCCGUAGGAUGGGACUGCGGUCUAUCAGCUUGUUGGUGAGGUAAUGGCCCACCAAGGCUAUAACAGAUACGGGCUCUGAGAGGAGAGGCCCGGAGAUGGGUACUGAGACACGGACCCAGGCCCUAUGGGGCGCAGCAGGCGAGAAAACUUUGCAAUGUGCGAAAGCACGACAAGGUUAAUCCGAGUGUUUUCUGCUAAAGAAAUCUUUUACCGGUCUUAAAACCACCGGCGAAUAAGGGGUGGGCAAGUUCUGGUGUCAGCCGCCGCGGUAAAACCAGCACCUCAAGUGGUCAGGAGGAUUAUUGGGCCUAAAGCAUCCGUAGCCUGCCGUGUAAGUUUUCGGUUAAAUCUAUGCGCUCAACGCAUAGGCUGCCGGAAAUACUGCACGGCUAGGGAGUGGGAGAGGUAGACGGUACUCGGUAGGAAGGGGUAAAAUCCUCUGAUCUAUCGAUGACCCCCUGUGGCGAAGGCGGUCUACUAGAACACGUCCGACGGUGAGGGAUGAAAGCUGGGGGAGCAAACCGGAUUAGAUACCCGGGUAGUCCCAGCUGUAAACAAUGCAAACUCAGUGAUGCAUUGGCGUAAGAGCCAGUGCAGUGCCGCAGGGAAGCCGUUAAGUUUGCCGCCUGGGAAGUACGUACGCAAGUAUGAAACUUAAAGGAAUUGGCGGGGGAGCACCACAAGGGGUGAAGCCUGCGGUUC
Molecule: ribosomal RNA, 877 nt
Filed under: uncultured Nitrososphaerota archaeon
Lineage: Archaea; Thermoproteati; Nitrososphaerota
Description: bacterial SSU rRNA
Rfam family: Archaeal small subunit ribosomal RNA
Source: RNAcentral